AGCAGCCGCGGUAAUUCCAGCUCCAAUAGCGUAUAUUAAAGUUGCUGCAGUUAAAAAGCUCGUAGUUGAAUUUCGGGACCAAUAUGUCGGUCAUGCCUCGGUACGUACUGGCAUCGUUGGUUUCUCCCUUCUGACGAACCAUGAUGUCAUUUAUUUGGUGUCGUGGGGAAUCAGGACUGUUACUUUGAAAAAUUAGAGUGUUUAAAGCAGGCUCACGCUUGAAUACAUUAGCAUGGAAUAAUGAAAUAGGACGUUUGAUUUUAUUUUGUUGGUUUCUAGGAUCGACGUAAUGAUUAAUAGGGAUAGUUGGGGGCAUUAGUAUUCAAUUGUCAGGGGUGAAAUUCUUGGAUUUAUUGAAGACUAACUACUGCGAAAGCAUUUGCCAAGGAUGUUUUCAUUAAUCAAGAACGAAAGUUAGGGGAUCGAAGACGAUCAGAUACCGUCGUAGUCUUAACCAUAAACUAUGCCGACUAGGGAUCGGAUGAUGUUUAAUUUUUUAAUGUACUCA
Molecule: ribosomal RNA, 508 nt
Filed under: uncultured Glomeraceae
Lineage: Eukaryota; Fungi; Glomeromycota; Glomeromycetes; Glomerales; Glomeraceae
Description: SSU rRNA
Rfam family: Eukaryotic small subunit ribosomal RNA
Source: RNAcentral